GAUGAACGCUGGCGGCGUGCCUAAUACAUGCAAGUCGAGCGAACGGACGAGAAGCUUGCUUCUCUGAUGUUAGCGGCGGACGGGUGAGUAACACGUGGAUAACCUACCUAUAAGACUGGUAUAACUUCGGGAAACCGGAGCUAAUACCGUAUAAUAUUUUGAACCGCAUGGUUCAAAAGUGAAAGACGGUCUUGCUGUCACUUAUAGAUGGAUCCGCGCUGCAUUAGCUAGUUGGUAAGGUAACGGCUUACCAAGGCAACGAUGCAUAGCCGACCUGAGAGGGUGAUCGGCCACACUGGAACUGAGACACGGUCCAGACUCCUACGGGAGGCAGCAGUAGGGAAGCUUCCGCAAUGGGCGAAAGCCUGACGGAGCAACGCCGCGUGAGUGAUGAAGGUCUUCGGAUCGUAAAACUCUGUUAUUAGGGAAGAACAUAUGUGUAAGUAACUGUGCACAUCUUGACGGUACCUAAUCAGAAAGCCACGGCUAACUACGUG
RNAcentral lists this ribosomal RNA (497 nucleotides) under uncultured bacterium. Its description in RNAcentral is "partial 16S ribosomal RNA". It matches the Rfam family "Bacterial small subunit ribosomal RNA", at positions 28 to 507 of the family's 1533-position model. The record is from RNAcentral.